UACGUAGGGGGCUAGCGUUGUCCGGAAUCAUUGGGCGUAAAGCGCGUGUAGGCGGUCCGGUAAGUCCGCUGUGAAAGUCGGGGGCUCAACCCUCGGCUUAACCGGGGAACUGCGUCUGAUACUGGUUGGCUUGAAUCCGGGAGAGGGAUGUGGAAUUCCAGGUGUAGCGGUGAAAUGCGUAGAUAUCUGGAGGAACACCGGUGGCGAAGGCGGCAUCCUGGACCGGUAUUGACGCUGAGGAGCGAAAGCCAGGGGAGCAAACGGG
This 265-nucleotide ribosomal RNA is filed under the name uncultured bacterium. Its description in RNAcentral is "partial 16S ribosomal RNA". It matches the Rfam family "Bacterial small subunit ribosomal RNA", at positions 524 to 776 of the family's 1533-position model. The record is from RNAcentral.